GGGCCUGUAGCUCAGUGGAAUAGAGCACGUGGCUACGAACCACGGUGUCGGGGGUUCGAAUCCCUCCUCGCCCA
RNAcentral lists this transfer RNA (74 nucleotides) under Nitellopsis obtusa. RNAcentral describes it as "tRNA-Arg". It matches the Rfam family "tRNA". Rfam says of the family: Transfer RNA (tRNA) molecules are approximately 80 nucleotides in length. Their secondary structure includes four short double-helical elements and three loops (D, anti-codon, and T loops). The record is from RNAcentral. Lineage: Eukaryota; Viridiplantae; Streptophyta; Charophyceae; Charales; Characeae.